This 429-nucleotide ribosomal RNA is filed under the name uncultured bacterium. RNAcentral's name for it is "bacterial SSU rRNA". It matches the Rfam family "Bacterial small subunit ribosomal RNA", at positions 355 to 776 of the family's 1533-position model. The record is from RNAcentral.
UGGGGAAUAUUGGACGAUGGGGGCAACCCUGAUCCAGCGAUGCCGCGUGGGUGAAGAAGGCCUUCGGGUUGUAAAGCCCUUUAGGUUGGGAAGAAGGAUGGCUGGUUAAUAGUCAGUCAUUUUGACGGUACCGACAGAAUAAGCACCGGCAAACUCUGUGCCAGCAGCCGCGGUAAUACAGAGGGUGCGAGCGUUAAUCGGAGUUACUGGGCGUAAAGGGCGCGUAGGCGGUGAUGUGAGUGUGAUGUGAAAGCCCUGGGCUUAACCUAGGAAGUGCAUUGCAAACGACAUGACUGGAGUAUAAGAGAGGGUGGCGGAAUUUCCGGUGUAGCGGUGAAAUGCGUAGAGAUCGGAAGGAACGUCAAUGGCGAAGGCAGCCACCUGGCUUAAUACUGACGCUGAGGCGCGAAAGCGUGGGGAGCGAACAGG